Molecule: ribosomal RNA, 764 nt
Filed under: uncultured bacterium
Lineage: Bacteria
Description: bacterial SSU rRNA
Rfam family: Bacterial small subunit ribosomal RNA
Source: RNAcentral
AGAGUUUGAUUAUGGCUCAGAGCGAACGUUAGCGGCAGGCCUAACACAUGCAAGUCGAGCGAGAAAGGGGCUUCGGCCCUGAGUAAAGCGGCGGACGGGUGAGUAACACGUGGGUAAUGUGCCCUUCAGCGGGGGACAACAGUCCGAAAGGAUUGCUAAUACCGCAUACGUCGGUUGGUGCUUCGGUACCAGCCGGGAAAGGUGGCCUCUUCAUGAAAGCUACCACUGAAGGAGCAGCCCGCGUCCCAUCAGCUAGUUGGCGGGGUAAUGGCCCACCAAGGCUAAGACGGGUAGCUGGUCUGAGAGGAUGAUCAGCCACACUGGAACUGAGACACGGUCCAGACUCCUACGGGAGGCAGCAGUGGGGAAUAUUGGGCAAUGGGCGCAAGCCUGACCCAGCCAUGCCGCGUGAGUGAUGAAGGUUUUCGGAUCGUAAAGCUCUGUGGGGAGGGAAGAAACAGUAUGGUGCUAACAUCACCGGACCUUGACGGUACCUCCUUAGCAAGCACCGGCUAACUCCGUGCCAGCAGCCGCGGUAAUACGGAGGGUGCAAACGUUGCUCGGAAUCAUUGGGCGUAAAGCGCACGUAGGCGGUCUGGUAAGUCGGAUGUGAAAUCCCUCGGCUCAACCGAGGAAGUGCAUUCGAAACUGCCAGACUUGAAUAUGGAAGAGGGUCGCGGAAUUCCCGGUGUAGAGGUGAAAUUCGUAGAUAUCGGGAGGAACACCAGUGGCGNNNNCNGCGACCUGGGCCAAUAUUGACGCUG